Molecule: ribosomal RNA, 420 nt
Filed under: bacterium
Lineage: Bacteria
Description: partial 16S ribosomal RNA
Rfam family: Bacterial small subunit ribosomal RNA
Source: RNAcentral
UGGGGGAUAUUGCACAAUGGGCGAAAGCCUGAUGCAGCGACGCCGCGUGGGGGAUGAAGGCUUUCGGGUUGUAAACCUCUUUCGCUAUCGAACAAGGCCCGCUUAGGGUGGGUUGAGGGUAGGUGGAGAAGAAGCGCCGGCUAACUACGUGCCAGCAGCCGCGGUAAUACGUAGGGCGCGAGCGUUGUCCGGAAUUAUUGGGCGUAAAGGGCUUGUAGGCGGCUUGUUGCGCCUGCUGUGAAAACGCGGGGCUUAACUUCGCGCGUGCAGUGGGUACGGGCAGGCUUGAGUGUGGUAGGGGUGACUGGAACUCCAGGUGUAGCGGUGGAAUGCGCAGAUAGCUGGAGGAACACCGAUGGCGAAGGCAGGUCACUGGGCCAUUACUGACGCUGAGGAGCGAAAGCAUGGGUAGCGAACAGG